This 270-nucleotide ribosomal RNA is filed under the name uncultured archaeon. RNAcentral describes it as "partial 16S ribosomal RNA". It matches the Rfam family "Archaeal small subunit ribosomal RNA", at positions 477 to 747 of the family's 1478-position model. The record is from RNAcentral.
CAGCACCUCAAGUGGUCAGGAUGAUUAUUGGGCCUAAAGCAUCCGUAGCCGGCGCUGUAAGUUUUCGGUUAAAUCUGUACGCUCAACGUACAGGCUGCCGGGAAUACUGCAGAGCUAGGGAGUGGGAGAGGUAGACGGUACUCGGUAGGAAGGGGUAAAAUCCUUUGAUCUAUUGAUGACCACCUGUGGCGAAGGCGGUCUACCAGAACACGUCCGACGGUGAGGGGUGAAAGCUGGGGGAGCAAACCGGAUUAGAUACCCGCGUAGUCC